UAGGGAAUCUUCGGCAAUGGACGAAAGUCUGACCGAGCAACGCCGCGUGAGUGAAGAAGGUUUUCGGAUCGUAAAACUCUGUUGUUAGAGAAGAACAAGGACGUUAGUAACUGAACGUCCCCUGACGGUAUCUAACCAGAAAGCCACGGCUAACUACGUGCCAGCAGCCGCGGUAAUACGUAGGUGGCAAGCGUUGUCCGGAUUUAUUGGGCGUAAAGCGAGCGCAGGCGGUUUCUUAAGUCUGAUGUGAAAGCCCCCGGCUCAACCGGGGAGGGUCAUUGGAAACUGGGAGACUUGAGUGCAGAAGAGGAGAUUGGAAUUCCAUGUGUAGCGGUGAAAUGCGUAAAUAUAUGGAGGAACACCAGUGGCGAAGGCGGCUCUCUGGUCUGUAACUGACGCUGAGGCUCGAAAGCGUGGGGAGCAAACAGG
This 429-nucleotide ribosomal RNA is filed under the name Gemmatimonadota bacterium. Its description in RNAcentral is "Gemmatimonadetes bacterium partial 16S ribosomal RNA". It matches the Rfam family "Bacterial small subunit ribosomal RNA", at positions 355 to 776 of the family's 1533-position model. Lineage: Bacteria; Pseudomonadati; Gemmatimonadota. The record is from RNAcentral.